GGAGGCGUGGCCGAGUGGUCGAAGGCAGCGGUUUUGAAAACCGCCGUACCGUCAGGUACCAGGGGUUCGAAUCCCUUCGCCUCCG
RNAcentral lists this transfer RNA (85 nucleotides) under Myxococcales bacterium. RNAcentral's name for it is "tRNA-Ser". It matches the Rfam family "tRNA". From Rfam's summary of the family: Transfer RNA (tRNA) molecules are approximately 80 nucleotides in length. The record is from RNAcentral. Lineage: Bacteria; Pseudomonadati; Myxococcota; Myxococcia; Myxococcales.